UACGUAGGCGGAUCAGAAAGUAUAGGGUGAAAUCCCAGGGCUCAACCCUGGAACUGCCUUAUAAACUCCUGGUCUUGAGUUCGAGAGAGGUGAGUGGAAUUCCAAGUGUAGAGGUGAAAUUCGCAGAUAUUUGGAGGAACACCAGUGGCGAAGGCGGCUCACUGGCUCGAUACUGACGCUGAGGUACGAAAGUGUGGGGAGCAAACAGGAUUAGAUACCCUGGUAGUCC
RNAcentral lists this ribosomal RNA (229 nucleotides) under uncultured bacterium. RNAcentral describes it as "partial 16S ribosomal RNA". It matches the Rfam family "Bacterial small subunit ribosomal RNA", at positions 568 to 796 of the family's 1533-position model. The record is from RNAcentral.